RNAcentral lists this ribosomal RNA (227 nucleotides) under Septoglomus constrictum. RNAcentral's name for it is "partial 18S ribosomal RNA". It matches the Rfam family "Eukaryotic small subunit ribosomal RNA", at positions 554 to 785 of the family's 1831-position model. The record is from RNAcentral. Lineage: Eukaryota; Fungi; Glomeromycota; Glomeromycetes; Glomerales; Glomeraceae.
GGCAAGUCUGGUGCCAGCAGCCGCGGUAAUUCCAGCUCCGAUAGCGUAUAUUAAAGUUGUUGCAGUUAAAAAGCUCGUAGUUGAAUUUCGGGAUCAAGGAAUCGGUCAUGCUUAGGUAUGUAGAGGUUUUAUUGGUUCUCACCUUCUAAAGAACCAUAAUGUCAUUCAUUUGAUGUUAUGGGGAAUUAGGACUGUUCCUUGAAAAAAUUAGAGUGUUUAAAGCAGGC